AAUUCCGGGCUUGCUCGGAAUGGAAAGUGGCGCACGGGUGAGUAACACGUAGGCAACCUGCCCCUGAGAGUGGAAUAACCAUGGGAAACUAUGGCUAAUACCGCAUAUUGUCUUAAAAAUGCAUGUUUUUAAGAUGAAAACUCUGGUGCUCAGGGAUGGGCCUGCGGCAGAUUAGCUUGUUGGUAGGGUAACGGCCUACCAAGGCUACGAUCUGUAGCUGGUCUGAGAGGAUGAUCAGCCACACUGGCACUGAGACACGGGCCAGACUCCUACGGGAGGCAGCAGUGAGGAAUAUUGCGCAAUGGGCGAAAGCCUGACGCAGCCACGCCGCGUGGAGGAAGACACCCCUAUGGGGCGUAAACUCCUUUUAUGUGAGAAGAAGGUCCCGGACGCCGGGAUUUGACGGUACCACAUGAAUAAGCACCGGCUAACUCCGUGCCAGCAGCCGCGGUAAUACGGAGGGUGCAAGCGUUGUCCGGAUUCACUGGGUGUAAAGGGUGUGUAGGCGGAACAUGCAAGUCAGAGGUGAAAGCCUACAGCUUAACUGUAGAACUGCCUUUGAUACUGCUGUUCUUGAGUACUGGAGAGGCUACUAGAAUUCGUGGUGUAGCGGUGAAAUGCGUAGAUAUCACGAGGAAU
This 639-nucleotide ribosomal RNA is filed under the name uncultured bacterium. Its description in RNAcentral is "bacterial SSU rRNA". It matches the Rfam family "Bacterial small subunit ribosomal RNA", at positions 70 to 707 of the family's 1533-position model. The record is from RNAcentral.